AUUGGGGCACCGACUGAAUCCACCUAUUGAACCCUAAAACGCUGCUCAAUCUCCAUCUGGUGCUCCUCUCAAUCGCGAGUCUCGCUGCCAUAGCUGUGGUUAAACAACAUCAACAACAUGUAGCCGUUGAAGAUAGCCAUGAAUUGGUGAAGAUUUUCAGAGGAAGUGAAGCGAACGCGAAUUUGAAUAAAAAAAAAUAUUGACAAAUCGACCAAAAAAAACACGAGAGAGGAAGCAUUGAGAGUGGGAGUUACCAGAUUAAAACUGUGGAGGAACUUCGAUGCUUGUAAUUGCUGAUUGGAUUAAGCGAACUUAAUUAGGGCUUGGAAGAAUGGAGUGAGUAUCGAGAAGCUGCAUUAGUUUGAGGUGGUGUUCGUGAUUGCUGCAAAUU
Molecule: long non-coding RNA, 391 nt
Filed under: Glycine max (soybean)
Lineage: Eukaryota; Viridiplantae; Streptophyta; Magnoliopsida; Fabales; Fabaceae
Description: long non-coding RNA (GMAX_LNC001665)
Source: RNAcentral